GCGACGCCGCGUGAGGGAUGACGGCCUUCGGGUUGUAAACCUCUUUCAAUAGGGACGAAGCGCAAGUGACGGUACCUAUAGAAGAAGCACCGGCCAACUACGUGCCAGCAGCCGCGGUAAUACGUAGGGUGCGAGCGUUGUCCGGAAUUACUGGGCGUAAAGAGCUCGUAGGUGGUUUGUCGCGUUGUUCGUGAAAACUCACAGCUCAACUGUGGGCGUGCGGGCGAUACGGGCAGACUGGAGUACUGCAGGGGAGACUGGAAUUCCUGGUGUAGCGGUGGAAUGCGCAGAUAUCAGGAGGAACACCGGUGGCGAAGGCGGGUCUCUGGGCAGUAACUGACGCUGAGGAGCGAAAGCGUGGGGAGCGAACAGGAUUAGAUACCCUGGUAGUCCACGCCGUAAACGGUGGGUACUAGGUGUGGGUUUCCUUCCUUGGGAUCCGUGCCGUAGCUAACGCAUUAAGUACCCCGCCUGGGGAGUACGGCCGCAAGGCUAAAACUCAAAGAAAUUGACGGGGGCCCGCACAAGCGGCGGAGCAUGUGGAUUAAUUCGAUGCAACGCGAAGAACCUUACCUGGGUUUGACAUGCACAGGACGCCGGCAGAGAUGUCGGUUCCCUUGUGG
Molecule: ribosomal RNA, 623 nt
Filed under: Mycobacterium sp. Se1Pw_3178
Lineage: Bacteria; Bacillati; Actinomycetota; Actinomycetes; Mycobacteriales; Mycobacteriaceae
Description: bacterial SSU rRNA
Rfam family: Bacterial small subunit ribosomal RNA
Source: RNAcentral